UGGCUUCAUUCGCACUGCUCUCUAAGUCUUCUUCUCUAAGGAUGAUUAGUUACCUCUAAUCUCUCCAUCUUCUAUCCCUUCUGAUUGAGAACUUCAUUAUUUUCAUGAUUCAACUUGAUUUUCUUCUAUUAGUAUAUAUCAGCAAGUCAAAUAAAUGGAUUAGUCGAUCGUAUAUCGUAUGUAUAUCAAUGGACUAUAUAUAUGA
Molecule: long non-coding RNA, 205 nt
Filed under: Elaeis guineensis (African oil palm)
Lineage: Eukaryota; Viridiplantae; Streptophyta; Magnoliopsida; Arecales; Arecaceae
Description: long non-coding RNA (EGUI_LNC020691)
Source: RNAcentral